This 467-nucleotide ribosomal RNA is filed under the name uncultured bacterium. RNAcentral describes it as "partial 16S ribosomal RNA". It matches the Rfam family "Bacterial small subunit ribosomal RNA", at positions 29 to 507 of the family's 1533-position model. The record is from RNAcentral.
ACGCACGCUGGCGGCGUGCUUAACACAUGCAAGUCGAACGGAAAGGCCCUGCUUUUGUGGGGUGCUCGAGUGGCGAACGGGUGAGUAACACGUGAAUAACCUGCCCUUGACUUUGGGAUAACUUCAGGAAACUGGGGCUAAUACCGGAUAGGAGCUCCUGCUGCAUGGUGGGGGUUGGAAAGUUUCGGCGGUUGGGGAUGGACUCGCGGCUUAUCAGCUUGUUGGUGGGGUAGUGGCUUACCAAGGCUUUGACGGGUAGCCGGCCUGAGAGGGUGACCGGCCACAUUGGGACUGAGAUACGGCCCAGACUCCUACGGGAGGCAGCAGUGGGGAAUAUUGCACAAUGGGCGGAAGCCUGAUGCAGCAACGCCGCGUGCGGGAUGACGGCCUUCGGGUUGUAAACCGCUUUCGCCUGUGACGAAGCGUGAGAGACGGUAAUGGGUAAAGAAGCACCGGCUAACUACGUG